RNAcentral lists this ribosomal RNA (524 nucleotides) under uncultured bacterium. Its description in RNAcentral is "partial 16S ribosomal RNA". It matches the Rfam family "Bacterial small subunit ribosomal RNA", at positions 28 to 523 of the family's 1533-position model. The record is from RNAcentral.
GACGAACGCUGGCGGCGUGCUUAACACAUGCAAGUCGAACGAGAAGGUUGAGAGCUUGCUCUUGAGAUUCGAGUGGCAAACGGGUGAGUAACGCGUAGACAACCUGCCUUUGAGAUGGGGACAACAGUUCGAAAGGACUGCUAAUACCGAAUGUUGUAUAUUUUCCACAUGGAAGAUAUAUUAAAGAUGGCCUCUAUAUAUAAGCUAUCGCUCAAAGAUGGGUCUGCGUCUGAUUAGCUAGUUGGUGGGGUAAUGGCCUACCAAGGCAACGAUCAGUAGCCGGUCUGAGAGGAUGAACGGCCACAUUGGGACUGAGACACGGCCCAGACUCCUACGGGAGGCAGCAGUGGGGAAUCUUCCACAAUGGACGAAAGUCUGAUGGAGCAACGCCGCGUGAGUGAAGAAGGGUUUCGGCUCGUAAAGCUCUGUUGUCGGGGACGAACGUGAGAUACUUGAAUAAAGUGUCUCAAUGACGGUACCUGACGAGGAAGCCACGGCUAACUACGUGCCAGCAGCCGCCGUAA